UUAGGAAGAAUCAAAUGUAUGCCACAAGAUAUAAACAGGUACAGUUUUAGGAAGAAUCAAAUGUAUGCCACAAGAUAUAAACAGGUACAGUAUUGGGAAGAAUCAAAUGUAUGCCACAAGAUAUAAACAGGUACAGUAUUGGGAAGAAUCAAAUGUAUGCCACAAGAUAUAAACAGGUACAGUAUUGGGAAGAAUCAAACGUAUGCCACAAGAUAUAAACAGGUACAGUAUUAGGAAGAAUCAAAUGUAUGCCACAAGAUAUAAACAGGUACAGUAUUGGGAAGAAUCAAACGUAUGCCACAAGAUAUAAACAGGUACAGUAUUGGGAAGAAUCAAACGUAUGCCACAAGAUAUAAACAGGUACAGUAUUAGGAAGAAUCAAAUGUAUGCCACAAGAUA
Eriocheir sinensis (Chinese mitten crab) is the source of this 399-nucleotide long non-coding RNA. RefSeq lists it as uncharacterized. The record is from RefSeq and is a predicted model, not a curated record. The transcript has 3 exons. Lineage: Eukaryota; Metazoa; Arthropoda; Malacostraca; Decapoda; Varunidae.